CAUGGCGUCAUAGAGGGUGAGAAUCCCGUAUGUGACUGUGGCUCGAGCCCAUGUGAAGCCUCUUCGACGAGUCGAGUUGUUUGGGAAUGCAGCUCAAAAUGGGUGGUAAAUUUCAUCUAAAGCUAAAUACUGGCUGGAGACCGAUAGCGCACAAGUAGAGUGAUCGAAAGAUGAAAAGCACUUUGGAAAGAGAGUCAAACAGUACGUGAAAUUGUUGAAAGGGAAGCGCUUGCAACCAGACCUGUCCGUAGGUGAUCAGCCGCUGUUCUCAGUGGUGCACUCGCUCUGCGAUCAGGCCAGCAUCGGUUCUGGCGGUCGGAUAAAGGCCUUGGGAAUGUAGCUCCCCUCGGGGAGUCUUAUAGCCCUCGGUGCAAUGCGGCCAGCCGGGACCGAGGACCGCGCUUCGGCUAGGAUGCUGGCGUAAUGGUUGUCAGCGACCCGUCUUGAAACACGGACCAAGGAGUCUACAUCUUAUGCGAGUGUUUGGGUGUCAAACCCAUACGCGGAAUGAAAGUGAACGGAGGUGAGAACCCUUAAGGGCGCAUCAUCGACCGAUCCAGAUGUCUUCGGAUGGAUUUGAGUAUGAGCAUAAUACGUGGGACCCGAAAGAUGGUGAACUAUGCCUGAAUAGGGUGAA
RNAcentral lists this ribosomal RNA (637 nucleotides) under Allocetraria globulans. Its description in RNAcentral is "LSU rRNA". It matches the Rfam family "Eukaryotic large subunit ribosomal RNA", at positions 196 to 850 of the family's 3401-position model. The record is from RNAcentral. Lineage: Eukaryota; Fungi; Ascomycota; Lecanoromycetes; Lecanorales; Parmeliaceae.